This 252-nucleotide unclassified non-coding RNA is filed under the name Hevea brasiliensis (rubber tree). Lineage: Eukaryota; Viridiplantae; Streptophyta; Magnoliopsida; Malpighiales; Euphorbiaceae. The record is from RNAcentral.
UAUCAUCCAGAGAUAGAAUGAUAUCAGUAGAUUUCUUACCGGAGAACAAAUUAGUGAAAUUUGAAUCUUCAAUGGAUGGCAACGAAUUGAUAUAAAGGAAGACCCUCCGGUAGAACUCAUUAUCCUGGCCAUUUUCAUUGAGCUCUGCAACUUUAAGAUACUGAUGAACAUGAAUUCUGUCAUCCAUCCAAUUCGCCCAUUUUCGCAAAACUAAUAUCAAAGCUGUUCUGUACAAGAUAAAUCUAACAAGAA